UGGCGGCGUGCCUAACACAUGCAAGUCGAACGAGAUCCAUGGGAGCUUGCUCCCGGAAGAUCUAGUGGCGAACGGGUGAGUAACACGUGAGAAACCUGCCUGGAGUGGGGAAUAACUCGGGGAAACUCGAGCUAAUACCGCAUACCCUCGGAUGGUCGCAUGGCCGACCGAGGAAAGAUUUAUCGCUCUAGGAGGGGUCUCGCGGCCUAUCAGCUAGUUGGUGGGGUAACGGCCUACCAAGGCAACGACGGGUAGCUGGUUUGAGAGAACGAUCAGCCACACUGGGACUGAGACACGGCCCAGACUCCUACGGGAGGCAGCAGUGGGGAAUCUUGCGCAAUGGGCGAAAGCCUGACGCAGCAACGCCGCGUGCGGGAUGACGGCCUUCGUGGUUGUAAACCGCUUUCAGCAGGGACGAAAAUGACGGUACCUGCAGAAGAAGCCCCGGCUAACUACGUG
This 459-nucleotide ribosomal RNA is filed under the name uncultured bacterium. Its description in RNAcentral is "bacterial SSU rRNA". It matches the Rfam family "Bacterial small subunit ribosomal RNA", at positions 37 to 507 of the family's 1533-position model. The record is from RNAcentral.